CNNGUCGAGCGGACAGAUGGGAGCUUGCUCCCUGAUGUUAGCGGCGGACGGGUGAGUAACACGUGGGUAACCUGCCUGUAAGACUGGGAUAACUCCGGGAAACCGGGGCUAAUACCGGAUGSUUGUUUGAACCGCAUGGUUCAGACAUAAAAGGUGGCUUCGGCUACCACUUACAGAUGGACCCGCGGCGCAUUAGCUAGUUGGUGAGGUAACGGCUCACCAAGGCRACGAUGCGUAGCCGACCUGAGAGGGUGAUCGGCCACACUGGGACUGAGACACGGCCCAGACUCCUACGGGAGGCAGCAGUAGGGAAUCUUCCGCAAUGGACGAAAGUCUGACGGAGCAACGCCGCGUGAGUGAUGAAGGUUUUCGGAUCGUAAAGCUCUGUUGUUAGGGAAGAACAAGUGCCGUUCAAAUAGGGCGGCACCUUGACGGUACCUAACCAGAAAGCCACGGCUAACUACGUGCCAGCAGCCGCGGUAAUACGUAGGUGGCAAGCGUUGUCCGGAAUUAUUGGGCGUAAAGGGCUCGCAGGCGGUUUCUUAAGUCUGAUGUGAAAGCCCCCGGCUCAACCGGGGAGGGUCAUUGGAAACUGGGGAACUUGAGUGCAGAAGAGGAGAGUGGAAUUCCACGUGUAGCGGUGAAAUGCGUAGAGAUGUGGAGGAACACCAGUGGCGAAGGCGACUCUCUGGUCUGUAACUGACGCUGAGGAGCGAAAGCGUGGGGAGCGAACAGGAUUAGAUACCCUGGUAGUCCACGCCGUAAACGAUGAGUGCUAAGUGUUAGGGGGUUUCCGCCCCUUAGUGCUGCAGCUAACGCAUUAAGCACUCCGCCUGGGGAGUACGGUCGCAAGACUGAAACUCAAAGGAAUUGACGGGGGCCCGCACAAGCGGUGGAGCAUGUGGUUUAAUUCGAAGCAACGCGAAGAACCUUACCAGGUCUUGACAUCCUCUGACAAUCCUAGAGAUAGGACGUCCCCUUCGGGGGCAGAGUGACAGGUGGUGCAUGGUUGUCGUCAGCUCGUGUCGUGAGAUGUUGGGUUAAGUCCCGCAACGAGCGCAACCCUUGAUCUUAGUUGCCAGCAUUCAGUUGGGCACUCUAAGGUGACUGCCGGUGACAAACCGGAGGAAGGWGGGGAUGACGUCAAAUCAUCAWGCCC
Molecule: ribosomal RNA, 1159 nt
Filed under: Bacillus sp. (in: firmicutes)
Lineage: Bacteria; Bacillati; Bacillota; Bacilli; Caryophanales; Bacillaceae
Description: bacterial SSU rRNA
Rfam family: Bacterial small subunit ribosomal RNA
Source: RNAcentral